AUUGAACGCUGGCGGCAGGCCUAACACAUGCAAGUAGAGCGAGCGGCGGACGGGUGAGUAAUGUCUGGGAAACUGCCUGAUGGAGGGGGAUAAAUAAUGGAAACGGUAGCUAAUACCGCAUCGCAUCAGCUGUGCCAAGAUGGGAUUAGCUAGUAGGGGGGGAACCGGCUCACCUAGGCGACGAUCCAUAGCUGGUCUGAGAGGAUGAACAGCCACAGUGUAAAGGAGACACGGUCCAGCAUUCUACGGGAGGCAGCGGUGGGGAAUAUUGCACAAUGGGCGCAAGCCGGUUGCGGCCAUGCGGCGGUUGUGAGUAGGGCCUUCGGGUUGUAAAGCACUUUCAGCGGGGAGGCGUUACCCGCAGAAGAAGCACCGGCUAACUCCGUGCCAGCAGCCGCGGUAAUUC
RNAcentral lists this ribosomal RNA (406 nucleotides) under uncultured bacterium. Its description in RNAcentral is "partial 16S ribosomal RNA". It matches the Rfam family "Bacterial small subunit ribosomal RNA", at positions 29 to 526 of the family's 1533-position model. The record is from RNAcentral.